Molecule: non-coding RNA, 4538 nt
Organism: Elaeis guineensis (African oil palm)
Lineage: Eukaryota; Viridiplantae; Streptophyta; Magnoliopsida; Arecales; Arecaceae
Source: RefSeq, a predicted model, not a curated record
UCAAAACUUCAACUAAUUUCCUAUAAAUUCCACUAGCUGGUAGUUACUGAAUGCUUUUUUUCUCACCUCCUCCCUAAUUUCAUUUUCCCUAAAAAAGAAAAUAAUUAAAAAUAAAAGUCUCUUAACCUUCUCUUGCAUUUGACCUCGUUUCGCUUGAUUCCAUUUUUAAUCCUCGCCACCUUUUCUCCUCUUUCUCGCGCCAUCGUUAGGGUUUUCCAAAAACCACGAGUUCUUGUCUCAUUAAUUAAAAUUAUCUCUAUACUCCAAUUUUUGUAAUAUUUUUAGAGAGCAAGAUGGCGGAUGGUAAGGUGGAGGCUUUUCAUGCAAAAGAAGCUAUCUCAAAGAAAAUCUGGACCGGGAUUAUACUGGUGCGAGGACACUUCUAGAGGAUCAGAGGAUUUCCUCCUUGCUGGAGCAUGCUUCGGAAAUGCUUAUUGUAUGUGAAAUUCUGUGCUCCAUGGAGAUGGAGCUCCCGAAUUGUCGGAUUGACUGGGACAGGGUCCUGCAUCUCUCCCCUUUGACCGAGGCUAUUGUCCAUGGAAGCAGAAUAUCAGAAACUUGUCUCCCGCUCACAGCCCAUCAAGAAUGACUUCCCAGGCACCAGAUUGGGCCUUAAUUUUGUUGAGGAUGCAUUCUCUGUGCUUUCAGAUCCCAUGAAACGGGCAGCCUUUGAUUCAAAGAUGAAUGGCGUAGGGAAUAACUUCUGUGAUCUGGAUUCAAGGUUCAGUGCAGUGGUGGUCUAAAGUCAGGAAAUGAAGCAGCCAUCAAAAGAGAUGUUGCAAGAUGUUGUUCGGAUAAACCUGAUUCUUCUAGGACUAAGAGGGCAGCUUAUGAUGCUUAUGUUGGAAUUGGCAGUGUGAGCCCGGUGGCAGAAGAUUAUGCUGAUGAGAAACAGAAGAAGAUCUGUGCUGAGGAGGUGAGUUGUGUUACUGCUAAGAUGAGGUCUGAGGAGGGAAAUGAUCUCCGCUCAAAGUUGGAAGAAGGAAGCCACUGUUCUUCUCUGCAUUUGGUGGCUAGAAAGAGGUAUCCGUUCUGACUUAUGACUUUGAGAACAACAGGUAGGCUGAGCUUUUCUCCACAGGCCAGGUCUGGGUGGCCUAUGAUCAAGAGAAUAUGCCUCGUAGGUAUGGUUGGAUGGAUAAGGUCCUUAUUGACAAGUCUCAGCUGCAUGCCACAUGGUUCAGACCUUGUCUGCAGACCUUGCAAGAGAAAAGGUGGUGCGAUGCUGGCUUCCCUGUUGCUUGUGGAUCAUUCGCUCUGGAAUCAAGCAAAUCACAGUUAGUCAGCCUAUGAUGUUCUCACAUCUUCUAUCGGAUGGCAUGGAAAUGCAAUCAAUUGAAGUUCAUCCCAAGAAGGGUGAGAUUUGGGCUAUAAAUAGAGAUUGGGACAUGGAAUGGUGCUUGAACCCGGGGAUUAGGCAAAAAGUGUGGCUUUGAAAUGGUAGAAAUUCUUACUGAUUUUUUUGAAGGAUACAGGUGUCAAGGUUGCUUGCUUGGUGAAGAUUGAUGGACAUUAAAGUGUUUUUCAAAGAUAGUCUAAGAGAGGAAAUGAGUUAUCCUUCUAGAUUCCUUUAAGCAAGCUGUUCAUAUGCUCUUAAAAUGUCUGCAUUUAGAUUUGUUGGUGGAGAAAUCGAUGGAAUUGCAAAUGGUAUGUUGGAGCUAGACCCUUUGGCUCUGCCAGAUGAUCUGGGCCAAGAUUUUCCAGGUGCUAUUGUUGAUUUUGCAGAUGCAUGCCAUAGAUCAUCUCAUGCAGUGAUGAAGCCAGUUUUACCCAACUUUCAAGUACCUCUAUGAAUGCUGUAGACUCUGGUGGCUCGAAUGUCAGGAUCCAAAACCAUAAAUCCAAAUGGGCAUCUAAAGAUUUUGUCAUAGAACAGAUAUGGGCCAUAUGUGAUGGUCCAGAUGCCAUGCUUCAAAUAUGUGUUAGAAUGAAUGAUGUAAUUUCACCAACUACAGUGUGUGUGACACACUUAGAACCUCACCCAGUACAAGAUGAAUUAAUACAAUGGGUGGAAGAAAGUCUGCUGAUGGCCUGUGGAAUAUUGCGUGCUGGCAGGGCAAUGGCUGACCUAGAGAUGUUUAGAUUCUCUCACCUUCUUAGGCUUGACAGGAGCACAAAGAGGUCUUUAUAUUGAAUUUACCCUUGGAAAGCCGAAAUUUGGGCUGUGUACAAAAAUUGGAACAGCAGUUGGAAGAAUUCUGAUCAUGUUAGGUGUCAAUGUCGAGCGGUUGAGAUCCUCUCGGACUUCUCAGAGGAGGCCGCCAUUAACAUAUGCUGCUUGGUUGAGGUGAAGGGGUGCUUGAACUUUUUCCAGGUGCUUGAACUUUUUCCAGAGGCAGCUAUAUGAGGGGUUCCAGUUAACUAGGCAGCUUUCAGGAUCCAAUUAUUGCUGCCCUCUGAGAGAAAAUAAAUAUGCACCACAGAUGCCUAAGGUCGGAAAUCUUUUCCUUGAUGCCAGCCAUUCAACAUAGUGCUGGGUACCAAUCCACUUCUGUCUUCCUAUUUUAGGUUUUGAGUCCUCUUCAGCUCUCCUCUAUCUGGGAGAAAACCCUGCUUUUCCUCGGUGUGAAGGAUACCACUGAAACUGGAAUUCAGAGAUCCAUUUUCAGGAUGUAAGUUUUCUUUCUGCCUACUUUCAUGGUACCUCACCAUGAGUUGAACCAAUAAAAUAAUUGAUAAUGCACCAGCAAGCUGUUAUAUCUAUUUUGAACAUAACUAGCUCUAGGCUCUGCAUUGAAUGUGUUAAUGUUAUUCCAAAAUAACUUUUCACAAAAUCAAUGCGAAAGUACUUGUAGAUUAAAAGUUUGGUUGAGAUGGGAAUUCUCUCUCUUAAUCUUAUUUUACGUGACAGGUCCAUAAUCAAACUUAUAGCAUUUGUUUCUCAUGAUUUUUAGGGCAAUCUAUAUGCAUUCUCUUACCAAAUAAAAUACUUUUGUCAAGUUCAAGUAAUUUUUCUAAUAUUCUAUAUAUGGCAUCAUUCUUAUUUGCUGGUUUCAUGUAGUCUGAGAACAACAAGAGGGUUAACUAGUUAAGUUUUGAAAUUUUAAACAACAGAAUAAAUAACAGACACAUCAUUUAAUCAUGGAUAAAAUGUGCAUGGUCAUGUUUAGGGACUGCUUCAAAGAAUAUAUUUCCAAGGUGUAACUUAUAUUUUUCCAAGGUAAAGGAUCUCCAAUGUUGCUUCAAGUGCAAUAAAUACUUCUUUCUAUCAUUUCAACCUUACUGACAAAGACUGUUGAGUACAAACUCAUGUAUAUAGUGGUUUACUCAAAUAUGGGAAACCUUUCAUCUUCAGAAAUAAUCAUCAAGAUGUCUCUGCACUUAUGCAAGCAUAUUUGCAGUAUUAGAAAUUGAACUCAGCAUAUGAUCUCUCUCUCUCUCUCUCUCUCUCUGUUUGUGCGCGUGCAUGUGCAUGGUGUUCUGUGUUUUAGACAUUCUAUGUAGAAACUGACAAAUUAGAUCCAUCUAUUAGAAACAUAUUUGCAAAUGGAAUUGAUAUUGAGCAUCCUCAAUUGGGUGCAUAUUUGUAACUGAUGCCACCUAAACCUCUAGAAUGUCUGCAAUGUUGUGAAUGACCUGGAUUUUUUUACUUAGAAGUCUUUUCUCUGUUCCUUUUCUUUUUGUCUUGUGAUUGCAUUGCCUCUCUGUCAAUUUUGUUUCACUAAUUUUUCAGUUUAUAUGAUUUAGAUUCUUGACAUUGAUAUAUCCAUCUUAUCAAGCAAAACGUGUAGUGUCUAACUGCAUAUAUGACAAGUUUUUCUGUGAAACAGAUCAUACCUUUCUUACUUCUUGCCAACAUUCUUAUAUUAUUUUUCCAAUGGAGGCUUGUUUCUGAAUUCUUUCCAAAUGCUUGCACACAAGCAGAAAUAUCCUUGUGCAAAAUUUUUGAUAUUCUAUAUAAACAGUUAAACUUCUUCUAAGCAGUCUAAGCAAUACUGGAAGGCAGCCAUGGGAUUGACAUUUUCUCCAACAUGGAUUGGGUGUGCGUACAGUUUAUUGAUCAUUGCUAAUUAUCCACUGUGGACAUGGAGCCUUAUAUUUUCUGUGAUAUGGAAAAAUCUGUGAGCUUCAGACUAUGGGAGAUGCUCGAAACCUACAGCUAGAAAAGGACAACAGUUUUGCAUCUACUCAUGACUCAAGUAAAGCAGCUCAGAGGUAGUUACUCCCUCCAAAAUUUAAUUUUUGGAAACCAUGCAAGAACAAAAUCAGGAAGUCCGAUACUCAUCAGUGAUUCUAUAGGUGAUUGUUCCCUGAAGUGUUCUUGGAUAGCUAGUCUCCCCACCUAAGACUGGAAGCUGAAUCAUUCCUCAGUCUUUCGCAGUUAGUAACUUGUUGUGGAGUCUAUUGUAGCAGAUGCAAUGAAGCAGAAGUAGUGCAGGUAAUGGUGCCUUAAAGUCUAAUUGGUGCUAAAUUGGAUUGAUUUUUUAGAGGUAUUCCAGGUACAUUGGUGGUGAUUUGUAAAGAUGAUUCACUUAACUCUUAAAUCUUUAAACCAAUUUUGGUUGCCACUAAAUGUGGCAAACUACUAAAGGGUCAUG